RNAcentral lists this ribosomal RNA (465 nucleotides) under Vreelandella stevensii. Its description in RNAcentral is "partial 16S ribosomal RNA". It matches the Rfam family "Bacterial small subunit ribosomal RNA", at positions 338 to 795 of the family's 1533-position model. The record is from RNAcentral. Lineage: Bacteria; Pseudomonadati; Pseudomonadota; Gammaproteobacteria; Oceanospirillales; Halomonadaceae.
CCUACGGGCGGCAGCAGUGGGGAAUAUUGGACAAUGGGGGGAACCCUGAUCCAGCCAUGCCGCGUGUGUGAAGAAGGCCCUCGGGUUGUAAAGCACUUUCAGUGAGGAAGAACGCCUGGUGGUUAAUACCCAUCAGGAAAGACAUCACUCACAGAAGAAGCACCGGCUAACUCCGUGCCAGCAGCCGCGGUAAUACGGAGGGUGCGAGCGUUAAUCGGAAUUACUGGGCGUAAAGCGCGCGUAGGUGGCUUGAUAAGCCGGUUGUGAAAGCCCCGGGCUCAACCUGGGAACGGCAUCCGGAACUGUCAAGCUAGAGUGCAGGAGAGGAAGGUAGAAUUCCCGGUGUAGCGGUGAAAUGCGUAGAGAUCGGGAGGAAUACCAGUGGCGAAGGCGGCCUUCUGGACUGACACUGACAUUGAGGUGCGAAAGCGUGGGUAGCAAACAGGAUUAGAUACCCCUGUAGUC